CAAUCAAACCGGGAGAUAGCUGGUUCUCCCCGAAAGCUAUUUAGGUAGCGCCUCGUGAAUUCAUCUCCGGGGGUAGAGCACUGUUUCGGCUAGGGGGCCAUCCCGGCUUACCAACCCGAUGCAAACUGCGAAUACCGGAGAAUGUUAUCACGGGAGACACACGGCGGGUGCUAACGUCCGUCGUGAAGAGGGAAACAACCCAGACCGCCAGCUAAGGUCCCAAAGUCAUGGUUAAGUGGGAAACGAUGUGGGAAGGCCCAGACAGCCAGGAUGUUGGCUUAGAAGCAGCCAUCAUUUAAAGAAAGCGUAAUAGCUCACUGGUCGAGUCGGCCUGCGCGGAAGAUGUAACGGGGCUAAACCAUGCACCGAAGCUGCGGCAGCGAACGUAUCACCCAAGACAACUUUACGGAGUUGACGAUUGACGGAGCGAAGCGACGUCAAAGCGUUCAUUAAAGUCGAGUUGGCUUAGGGAUACGUUCGUUGGGUAGGGGAGCGUUCUGUAAGCCUGUGAAGGUGUGUCGUGAGGCAUGCUGGAGGUAUCAGAAGUGCGAAUGCUGACAUAAGUAACGAUAAAGCGGGUGAAAAGCCCGCUCGCCGGAAGACCAAGGGUUCCUGUCCAACGUUAAUCGGGGCAGGGUGAGUCGACCCCUAAGGCGAGGCCGAAAGGCGUAGUCGAUGGGAAACGGGUUAAUAUUCCCGUACUUGGUGUUACUGCGAAGGGGGGACGGAGAAGGCUAUGUUGGCCGGGCGACGGUUGUCCCGGUUUAAGCGUGUAGGUGUGUGUUCCAGGUAAAUCCGGUUCACUUUAACACUGAGGCGUGACGACGAGGCACUACGGUGCUGAAGCAACAAAUGCCCUGCUUCCAGGAAAAGCCUCUAAGCAUCAGGUAACAUCAAAUCGUACCCCAAACCGACACAGGUGGUCAGGUAGAGAAUACCAAGGCGCUUGAGAGAACUCGGGUGAAGGAACUAGGCAAAAUGGUGCCGUAACUUCGGGAGAAGGCACGCUGACACGUAGGUGAAGUGAUUUACUCAUGGAGCUGAAGUCAGUCGAAGAUACCAGCUGGCUGCAACUGUUUAUUAAAAACACAGCACUGUGCAAACACGAAAGUGGACGUAUACGGUGUGACGCCUGCCCGGUGCCGGAAGGUUAAUUGAUGGGGUCAGCGCAAGCGAAGCUCCUGAUCGAAGCCCCGGUAAACGGCGGCCGUAACUAUAACGGUCCUAAGGUAGCGAAAUUCCUUGUCGGGUAAGUUCCGACCUGCACGAAUGGCGUAAUGAUGGCCAGGCUGUCUCCACCCGAGACUCAGUGAAAUUGAACUCGCUGUGAAGAUGCAGUGUACCCGCGGCAAGACGGAAAGACCCCGUGAACCUUUACUAUAGCUUGACACUGAACAUUGAGCCUUGAUGUGUAGGAUAGGUGGGAGGCUUUGAAGUGUGGACGCCAGUCUGCAUGGAGCCGACCUUGAAAUACCACCCUUUAAUGUUUGAUGUUCUAACGUGGACCCGUAAUCCGGGUUGCGGACAGUGUCUGGUGGGUAGUUUGACUGGGGCGGUCUCCUCCUAAAGAGUAACGGAGGAGCACGAAGGUUGGCUAAUCCUGGUCGGACAUCAGGAGGUUAGUGCAAUGGCAUAAGCCAGCUUGACUGCGAGCGUGACGGCGCGAGCAGGUGCGAAAGCAGGUCAUAGUGAUCCGGUGGUUCUGAAUGGAAGGGCCAUCGCUCAACGGAUAAAAGGUACUCCGGGGAUAACAGGCUGAUACCGCCCAAGAGUUCAUAUCGACGGCGGUGUUUGGCACCUCGAUGUCGGCUCAUCACAUCCUGGGGCUGAAGUAGGUCCCAAGGGUAUGGCUGUUCGCCAUUUAAAGUGGUACGCGAGCUGGGUUUAGAACGUCGUGAGACAGUUCGGUCCCUAUCUGCCGUGGGCGCUGGAGAACUGAGGGGGGCUGCUCCUAGUACGAGAGGACCGGAGUGGACGCAUCACUGGUGUUCGGGUUGUCAUGCCAAUGGCACUGCCCGGUAGCUAAAUGCGGAAGAGAUAAGUGCUGAAAGCAUCUAAGCACGAAACUUGCCCCGAGAUGAGUUCUCCCUGAGACUUAGAGUCUCCUGAAGGAACGUUGAAGACGACGACGUUGAUAGGCCGGGUGUGUAAGCGCAGCGAUGCGUUGAGCUAACCGGUACUAAUGAACCGUGAGGCUUAACCUUACAACGCCGAAG
This 2216-nucleotide ribosomal RNA is filed under the name Salmonella enterica. Its description in RNAcentral is "partial 23S ribosomal RNA". It matches the Rfam family "Bacterial large subunit ribosomal RNA", at positions 830 to 2925 of the family's 2925-position model. RNAcentral also lists the same sequence under 2 other names. Lineage: Bacteria; Pseudomonadati; Pseudomonadota; Gammaproteobacteria; Enterobacterales; Enterobacteriaceae. The record is from RNAcentral.